Molecule: ribosomal RNA, 460 nt
Filed under: uncultured bacterium
Lineage: Bacteria
Description: partial 16S ribosomal RNA
Rfam family: Bacterial small subunit ribosomal RNA
Source: RNAcentral
CCUACGGGUGGCUGCAGUGAGGAAUAUUGGUCAAUGGACGAGAGUCUGAACCAGCCAAGUAGCGUGAAGGAUGACUGCCCUAUGGGUUGUAAACUUCUUUUAUAUGGGAAUAAAAUGUUCCACGUGUGGGAUUUUGUAUGUACCAUAUGAAUAAGGAUCGGCUAACUCCGGGCCAGCAGCCGCGGUAAUACGGAGGGUCCGAGCGUUAUCCGGAUUUGUUGGGUUUAAAGGGAGCGUAGGGGGAUGGUGAAGGCAGUUGUGAAAGUUUGCGGCUCAACCGGAGAAGUGCAGUUGAAACUGGCAGUCUUGAGUACAGUAGAGGUGGGCGGAAUUCGUGGUGUAGCGGUGAAAUGCUUAGAUAUCACGAAGAACUCCGAUUGCGAAGGCAGCUCCCUGGACUGCAACUGACACUGAGGCUCGAAAGUGUGGGUAUCAAACAGGAUUAGAUACCCGUGUAGUC